Molecule: long non-coding RNA, 3945 nt
Filed under: Marmota monax (woodchuck)
Lineage: Eukaryota; Metazoa; Chordata; Mammalia; Rodentia; Sciuridae
Source: RNAcentral
GCCACGACCUUCUUUAGAACUACGGCGCGGCCCCUCAGCUGGCCUCCCUGAGUCCCUUUGGCUCUUUUCCAGUACAUUCUCCAUGGUCAGCCAGAGCGAUUUCUCUCAGGAACAGCUGAUCACAUCAUCCUCUUGCGCAGUGCUGUUCGCGGAUCCGGGUACUUCAGGAUAAACCUCAGUACGUCCCACAUGACCCCCUAACCUGGCUGUGCGUGCCUGCUGGCUGGUGGCCCUCCCUCCGGCUGUGUGCGAGAGGCACCUGGACACCGGGGAGCUCAGCUGCACUCAGGGGCCCCGUGGAGCAGCCACCAGCGCCUAGGAGCCCGGGGGUAUAGUGGAGUUGGGGUCCUUGCCAGCAUCCUGGGUUGUGGGAGUGCCCUGGCUUCCAGCUCUGCCGCCCGCCAAGGCGUCUGGGUGUGCUCUCUGCAGAACGGCACCACGGCCGGCUUUGGGGUGGACCUCCUGUGCUCACGCCUUUACCUUCUGACCCACCCAACCUGUCGUGACUUAGCAAGAACAAAUGUGGCCAGCACAAGGUCCCAGGCAACACCCACCAUCCUCCGUGAGCGCUCGGCUUGUCGGGGGACUCUCGAGCCUCCCCACUCCUCCGCGCCCUCCCGCUCCUCUCUGCCUGCGCGUGGGCAGUGCCCACCUGCAGCAGGUGCAGCAGGAAGCAGCAGGAAGUCGAAGCCGAUCAUUAAGCUUUUCUGGAGAGAGCUUCCUGGGAAGGUGGGAGGGGACACUGGGCAGAGCUGAGGACACACGGGAGAAGGCCAGAGCUGGGGUCCCACGUCCUGAGGAGGAGCCCAGGUGGGAGUCUGGGACCUCGGGACACCCUGCAGAGCCCACUGUAGGGGAGUCAGAACAGGCUUGAGAGACUCUAAAACCAGGUGGAGAGUGCAGCUCAGCACGUCCAGAGCACCGAGCGUGGAACUCAGCCAAGCCAGCCCCUCCCUUUACAACAGAGAGAACUGAGGUUCAGGGAGCAGCUGAGAACCCCCCUUCCCCCAUCAGGGAGAAGCACCCGGCCAGGACGGGGACCCACGGAAGCACUCGUACCGCGUGCCUGGAGCAGGCCACAUGCAAGAGGGUGCGUUUGUGGCUGCUGUGGCCUGCUUGCUCCCUAGACCCUGCCUCCAGGAGUGUGCAGUGCACCUACUGCACCACUGUACAGCCAGCACCGAGGCAGAGUUGGGGAGACCCAAGAGGUCCCUCAGACAGUGUGGCCCCCUCUCUUAGCUCCCAGUAUGUGGUGGAAUGAAGGCAGGAGCGGUAUCUGGAGCAAGGCCGCGGAUGUUAGGUCCACCUUUGGACACUGGAAUGUAGAAACUGGCAUUUGAAAAGGUAGGUAAGGCCUGACUCUGCCCUAGAGGAAACCGGGUCUGGGUGUGAAGAGGCAGAGAGGGGCAAGAUGAGGACCUGUGCUGGGCUGAGGGUUUCUGGGUGUCUGGUCAGGAGGAAGGAGGCCCUAUAACCUCCAUGUCUGCAGGUCAAGGCUCACUGAGCCUUCAGCCCAGGCCCAGGGAACCAGUGUCCUCCCUCGCUGGCUGCAGGCCACACAGAGCAUGAGUCGGGACAGAGUCCAGCAGGCCUUUGCCACACCCAGGCCCGCGCACUUCCCAAGGGAAUCAAGGACAGAGGGGACCCUGAACCUCAGUCCUGGCCAGCCCAGCCGUGCUGCACCACAGUGCCCUCUUCUGGCCAUCCAGGGAAGGUCGUCUCAGGCCCUGUGGCCAGAGGUGGGAGCACCCCAGGCUCUGGGUGGGCCCCGGGGAGGGAGCAGGUAGGUAUGGGCAGCACAGGACCCAGGCCAUGGGCUGGAGCUGACCUGGGUAGGCAGGGGGAGCGGGAGCUUCCAGCAGGUGGUCCUGACUGUGGCGGCAGCUCUGCAGUCAGUCUGCAGGAGGUGCUCUGCAGGGAAGGGGCGGAGGCCGGCCUCCACGGGGCGCCUCAGGAGCGGCUCUGCGCUGUCCUGGCCAGGGCCCUCUUUUUCUGACAAGGAAUCCUUUGAUGUCCAAUGGCUACUUCCCCACAGGUCGGAGCAGCCCGCCUGGGCCCAGGGUUCAGUCCUCUGCGCUUCCAGAAGCGGAUUUCACAGGGAUUAACUUCAGACGCGGCUCUGGUGCUUCUCUUUACUCUGGUAGCCCUGGCCUUGCGGGGAAUGUGGAGGAGGUAGAGAAACACAGGGGCAAAGCCAGAAAUUAUUCUCAAGCCACCCUCCCAGCAAAAUCCCAUCAGCGCUGGGGUGCGGCUCCUCCCCAAGCUCAGGCCUAGCUUGGGUGCCACUUUGCCCACAGUGUUCUCUUUUGCUGCUUAAUGCGACAUUACAGGAGUGUUAUGAAAUGUUUUAUGAACACUCCGUGUGUGUGUGUGUGUGUGUGUGUGUGGUGCUGGGGAGGGUCCCAGGGCACUGUGCAGGCCAGGCAAGUGCUCCACCACUGAGCCACACCUGAGUGGCUGUACACAGUCCAUCCUGUGGCUGGCCUGUCACAGUUAUGGUCUUUGCUGGACAUUUGGAGGUUUCUCAGCUCACUGUUGCAUGCUUGAUGGUCUGGAUCUGGAAGGUCUCUCGAGGGUCUGCAGGAUCCGCAGUAACGUCCCUCAGUACAGCUUUGAGGAGAUGGCUGGCUCUCGAGGUCUCUGACCUCAUGGGUGGGUGCAUCCAUUUGGUGAAUUAAUGAUUUGAAUGGAUUAUUGGGAGGCGGAGCCUGGUUAGAGGAAGCAAGUCCCUGGAGGUGUGCCCACGGAGGCCCACCUGGCCUGGGCACUGCCUCCUCCCUCCCUGCCCCUCUCUCUCAGCUGCUGUGAGCCAGCUGCGUCCUCCACACCACACCUCCCACCACGAGGUUCCACCUCACCUCAGGCCCGCAGCAAAGGAGCCAGGAGACCAUGGACUGACCCCCUGAAAUCAGGAGCCAAAAUGACCUUUUUGUCCUCUAAGUUGUUCUCGUCAGCUGCUGUGGUCACAGUGAUGCGAAGCUGACAACAUGACGCUCUUGGAAAGAGCCAGUGAGUGGAUCUUGGUCUCUGGGAUGGAGUCCCGGGAGGGCCAUCUGAGGUGGAAGGAGCCACAGUCCCAAGGUCCUGCCGGGUGGACGGGCAGCCGCAGCUUCACCUCCGCAGGUGUGAAUGUGCCAGUUCUCCUGCUGGACCUCCAACCGCUAGUGGGUGGGCACAGACCUUUUUUGGCAUUUGUUUGGCUGCCGAGGCAGUUGGACAUCGCCCGCAGGUUUGGCUGAAGACUCAAAGGGCCACGAGCGGCUCUUUCCUCUGCCCACAGAAGAGCGAUUCCAGAAAUAAGACCAGAGAGGGGGAAACUGGGCCAAAGAUCCCUUUGAUUCUUUAUAAAGAUGAAGGGGGAGGAUGCAGCCUCCGGGAGAGCCAGAUGGGGCUGUGAGUGAAUCAGGGAUUCAGCCGCACCCCCCUCCCAGUCCCAGCAGAGCUCCUUGGACUGACAGCCAGAUGGCCUGCCGGGCGGACUUUUCUGGAGGUGGACAUUGCCUGGACUUAGCAUGGAAAGCUGGGGGUGGGGGGGUGUCGGAGGUGUCACUCUAUAGCCAUCGUCUGGUCCCCUAAAGGAAAAAGGGGGCCUGAGCUGAGGAUCCGGUUAUUUUCUGAAAUGCCCCAGUCGGAGGACAAGGUGCCUCCCUGCUGCCUUCGCCAGUCGCCUGUGUUUCCUCCUAUUAAUGUUAAAUUCUUUCUAUGGGGAUUGACCAGCAACAGUGAUUCAUUAAAGGUCUCUUUAAAAAUCAUCUUUGCCUUUUCCUCUUGUUUACCAUGUUCUUGAAUUUUGGAAGUUUCGAUGGGAACUUAGCCAAGUUUACCAUUUUUAUGCCGUUUCCAUCCUGAGAAUCAGCACUAUGACAUCGUCUCCAGGUGUUUGAGUGAGUGGCUCGUGCCCCACGCUCUGGGGACACCUGCGUGUGCACUGUCAUGAGGUCCUCC